CCUACGGGCGGCAGCAGUAGGGAAUUUUGCGCAAUGGGCGAAAGCCUGACGCAGCAACGCCGCGUGAUCGAGACGCCCUUCGGGGUGUAAAGAUCUGUCAGUGGGGACGAAACUUGACGGUACCCACAGAGGAAGCACCGGCUAACUCCGUGCCAGCAGCCGCGGUAAUACGUGGGGUGCAAGCGUUGUACGGAUUCAUUGGGCGUAAAGAGUUCGUAGGCGGCACGUUAGGUCUGGAGGUAAAGGCAGAGGCCUAACCUCUGUACGGCACUGGAUACUGGCGGGCUGGAAUGCAGGAGAGGUAAGGGGAAUUCCUGGUGUAGCGGUGAAAUGCUUAGAUAGCAGGAGGAACAUCGGUGGCGAAAGCGCUUUACUGGGCCGUAAGUGACGCUGAGGAACGAAAGCCAGGGUAGCAAAUGGGAUUAGAUACCCUUGUAGUC
This 440-nucleotide ribosomal RNA is filed under the name uncultured bacterium. RNAcentral describes it as "partial 16S ribosomal RNA". It matches the Rfam family "Bacterial small subunit ribosomal RNA", at positions 338 to 795 of the family's 1533-position model. The record is from RNAcentral.